Molecule: transfer RNA, 84 nt
Filed under: Bacteroidales bacterium
Lineage: Bacteria; Pseudomonadati; Bacteroidota; Bacteroidia; Bacteroidales
Description: tRNA-Leu
Rfam family: tRNA
About the family: Transfer RNA (tRNA) molecules are approximately 80 nucleotides in length.
Source: RNAcentral
GCCCAGAUGGCGGAAGUGGUAGACGCGCAUGGUUGAGGGCCAUGUGACCGCUCGGUCGUGCAAGUUCGAGUCUUGUUCUGGGCA